UGGCGGAAUGCUUAACACAUGCAAGUCGAACGAGUACUUUUUACGAGUGGCGAACGGGUGCGUAACGCGUGGGAACCUGCCUUUAGGUAAAGAAUAACUAUAGGAAACUGUAGCUAAUACUUUAUAUACCCUACGGGGGAAAGAUUUAUCGCCUUUAGAGGGGCGCGCGUCAGAUUAGCUUGUUGGUAAGGUAAUAGCUUACCAAGGCAAUGAUCUGUAGCUGGUUUGAGAGGACGAUCAGCCACAUUGGGACUGAGACACGGCCCAGACUCCUACGGGAGGCAGCAGUGGGGAAUCUUGGACAAUGGGGGAAACCCUGAUCCAGCAAUUCCGCGUGAAUGAUGAAGGCCUUAGGGUUGUAAAGUUCUUUUAGUAAGGAAGAUGAUGACGGUACUUACAGAAAAAGCUCCGGCUAACUCCGUGCCAGCAGCCGCGGUAAUACGGGGGGGGCAAGCGUUGUUCGGAAUUACUGGGGUAAAGAGCGAGCAGGUGGUUCAUUAAGUCAAUUGUGAAAGCUCAAGGCUUAACCUUGAAAUUGCUUUUGAUACUGAUGGACUAGAGUUUGGGAGAGGAUAGUGGAAUUCUAAGUGUAGAAGUGAAAUUCGUAGAUAUUUAGAGGAACACCAACAGCGAAGGCAGCUAUCUGGCCCUUUACUGACACUCAGAAGCGAAAGCUUGGGUAGCAAACAGGAUUAGAUACCCUGGUAGUCCAUGCUGUAAACGAUGAGUGCUAGAUGUUAGAAGUUUACUUCUAGUAUCGAAGCUAACGCGUUAAGCACUCCGCCUGGGGAGUACGGCCGCAAGGCUAAAACUCAAAUGAAUUGACGGGGACCCGCACAAGCAGUGGAGCAUGUGGUUUAAUUCGACGCUACGCGAAGAACCUUACCAGCUCUUGACAUGCUAGGUUAUAGAUUUAAGAGAUUAAAUUUUUCAGUUCGGCUGGGCUUAGUACAGGUGCUGCAUGGCUGUCGUCAGCUCGUGUCGUGAGAUGUUCGGUUAAGUCCGGCAACGAGCGCAACCCUUAUCUUCAGUUACUAACAGGUUAUGCUGAGGACUUUGGAGAAACUGCCGCUGGAAAAGCGGAGGAAGGCGAGGAUGACGUCAAGUCCUCAUGGCCCUUAUGGGCUGGGCUACACACGUGCUACAAUGGUAAUUACAAUGAGUCGCAAAGGGGCAACCUGGAGCUAAUCUCAAAAAAUUAUCUAAGUUCGGAUUGUUCUCUGCAACUCGAGAGCAUAAAGUUGGAAUUGCUAGUAAUCGUGGAUCAGCAUGCCACGGUGAAUACGUUCCCGGGUCUUGUACACACCGCCCGUCACACCAUGGGAGUUGGUCUUACCUGAAGCCAAUUUUAAUAUUGUCCA
Molecule: ribosomal RNA, 1361 nt
Filed under: uncultured bacterium
Lineage: Bacteria
Description: bacterial SSU rRNA
Rfam family: Bacterial small subunit ribosomal RNA
Source: RNAcentral